ACAUGUAAUAUUUUUUUUAAAAUCAUGUAACUUUAUUUUCAUUUUAUAUUUAAUAUCCUUAAUUUCUCUACCUCCAUUCGAUCUCAAAUCUGAAAACUAUGACCAGGAACCAUUCGUUGUUCAUCGCUCUCACCACCAGAAAUCUGCAACUCUCACCGCCACCGGCGCCUUCGCCGCCGCCGCCGCCAUCUGCCCUCCAUUUCUCCCCUCCCCGAAAUUCCGCCAUCUGCCACCUCCUUUCGAAUAAAUCUGGAAAACCAUGACCAAUCGCCCCCACCACCAAAACUCUGCAACUCUCAUCGCCAUCGCCGGGCUGGUCACCGCCUUCACCGCCGCCGCCGCCGCCGCCAUCUGCCCUCCAUUUCCCACCCUCCCCACGAUUCCGCGAUCUGCCACCUCCUUCCGAAUAAAUUUGAAAAACCAUGACCAGUCGCCGCCCCCACCACCAGAAAUCGAUCUGCCACCUCCCUUCCCCACCGUGGUUCGCCGCGCCGGAACCCUCCGCUAUCUGCCGUGAUUCUUCCUAUACAGCCAUGAUUUUUAGCUAUAAAUUCCACGAAUCAUUCAGAAAUUGGUGGCGGCUCCUUCCGAUUUCAUUAUGUUUUUACAGCCAACGCAAGCGCCAAUAUUUCUCAUUCUUUUUGCCUUUCCUUUCUGUUACAAUUGCAAAUACUGAAAAUGAUAAUAUCUCAAAGGACUAUCUACAAGAUCUUUUUGGCCGUUUUCUCUUUGGUUUUGCUGGGGGCAAUGAAAUGCAGGACGACCCCUAAGAUGAAAAAUAUUAGAUUUAUGAUCAAGAUAGCGAUGCGACUUCUCCAAUGAUGAGGAUUAGUGAAUUAUCGAACGAGAUGGGGCUUCUUAUGGCCUUUGCUCAUCUCAGAAAUGAUGGCAGUCGGCGGGUUAUGGCUCACUGAGACUGAGCAAAACCACCCUGCUUCGUGAGGGUUAGGCUGACGUUGAGAGGAAUUUGUGCCUUGCUGUCAACUUAUAUAUUAUUCGACAGGCUCUUUCAUGAGACAUUAGAGUAAAUGGGUGAGGAUGAGGAAUACCAUUUUUGGUGAUUGGUAAAAGGAUGUCGACGCCGAGAAGCAUCAGCGCCCCUACCUCUCAAGCCUCAGCGGGUAUCCGACGGAUAGUGGGUGACGGGUACGACGGGUAGCGGGUGUCCUCUUUAAUUUAAAUUUUUCAUUUUAGUUUGAUAUGUAACGUAGACCUAUAUCAUGUUAACACUUAAUUUACUGAAUAAUAUUCAUCA
This is an RNA transcript of Salvia miltiorrhiza (redroot sage), 1255 nucleotides long. RefSeq lists it as uncharacterized. The record is from RefSeq and is a predicted model, not a curated record. Lineage: Eukaryota; Viridiplantae; Streptophyta; Magnoliopsida; Lamiales; Lamiaceae. The transcript has 7 exons.